RNAcentral lists this long non-coding RNA (358 nucleotides) under Equus asinus (donkey). Its description in RNAcentral is "lncRNA (ENSEASG00005026379.1)". The record is from RNAcentral. Lineage: Eukaryota; Metazoa; Chordata; Mammalia; Perissodactyla; Equidae.
CUGGAAUGUAUUCCUGAAACGGUCAAUAUGUUCUCUCUGCAGUUUUUUCUGGUCUUGUUUUCCUUUAGUAAUUUUGGCUGGAAUUGUAGGAUUUCAUAGUACUCCUCAUCUGAUAUAUUUUACAGAGAUUUAAUAAUAGAGGAAUCCAAGUUGGGGAAGAUGAGCUGAAGAGAUGUCAAGACAGUUCUUAGCCUGUAUUAAAGGAUCAGCAAAGACAUAUCCUCUCCUGCUUGACUAAUACAGUAAGGAAGAACUUCCAAAGAAAGGAGUUUAGCAAUGGACUGGAUUUCCCACACAGAAGUACCUACCCUAUUAUGGAAAUUUUCAAGCAGUAAAUAGAAAUCAUUUAUUAAUAAAU